This is a long non-coding RNA of Aethina tumida (small hive beetle), 1130 nucleotides long. RefSeq lists it as uncharacterized. The record is from RefSeq and is a predicted model, not a curated record. NCBI's taxonomy places the organism in Eukaryota, Metazoa, Arthropoda, Insecta, Coleoptera, Nitidulidae. The transcript is spliced from 3 exons.
UAUAAGGUGUACUAUUCCAAGAAAAAGAACUCCAAACCAUAAUGUAUCCUCCACCGUGUUUUUUGCUUUUGUAGUGAGUCUAGUAUCAAAACUUUUAUUUAGAAAACGAUAAACUUAUUGUUUAAAAUAUGAACUAAAUCAAUUAAACUUGGAUUCAUGACUCUAAAGUACUCUUCUGGAAGAAAUUAUUAAAAUUUAAAGUCAAUCGGAAAACAAAUUGUCGAUUUUUUGAUUUCUUUUCUUCAUUUCUUCUUCACAAAGAAGCGUGUACUUAGUUUUUGCCACAAUUUGUUUUAUUAUAUAAUUUAUAAUAAACGUUUAACAUGCCUACAGUACGGAGAAGAAAUAAUUUUAGCCAAUAAAGCGUUUGAUAAAGAUAGAAUAGUGGCCCUGUAUGAGCAGAAAUUUCGAACAGAAAUGAGAAUAUUGUAAUGCUUUUUUGGCAAUCAUGGAGUGAAGAGGGCAGAAGAGGUAGAGCAAGAGCUUUCAGAAGACCCAGAAAUACCACAGGGUCACAAAACGUCGUCUUAGAUUAUUGGUUCUAAAGGACAGAAUGAGUUCAACGCUGAUGAUUGCCGUUGAAGGUGUCAACUGGAGUAUGGAACGUCAACAGUGAGAUGAGGAAUGGAAUCACAUUGUUUUUAGUGAUGUAUGACGCUUUUGUUUGGCCAUGCACGAUAGUCAUGUGUUUGUAAGACAGCAAUGUGGAUCCUCGCUUUGCUGUGGAGAGGUCACCUUUAGUUCUCAUUAGAGGCAAUAUGACGUCUCAGAGCUAUGUGGAUGACGUUUUGGAACCAUAUCUUGUUCCUUACAUAAGAAGAGAUCUCGAACUAAUUUUUCAACAAAAUAAUAGCCGUCCACAUAUUGCCACGAGUACAUUAAACUCCCUAGAAGCCUCCCAUGUGAAUUUACUGCCUUGGCCACCCAGAUCUGCAACCUUUGCCCAAUCGAACCUGUGUGGGGUAUGAUGGGGCGACGCAAAUUUACAGCACCCUCUAUGGACUCUUAAUAAACUAAGACGUCAGAUUCCGUUCAUCUGGGACAUUGUAAACCAUUUUUCGGGAGUAUUUUAAACAUUUUACGAUGUUAUUAUUAUUUAACUAUUCUCUGGUGUGUAGCCUUACUCUCUU